GUUCAUGUAGCUUAUUUACAAAGCAAGGCACUGAAAAUGCCUAGAAGAA
RNAcentral lists this transfer RNA (49 nucleotides) under Dipodomys simulans (Dulzura kangaroo rat). RNAcentral describes it as "partial tRNA-Phe". Lineage: Eukaryota; Metazoa; Chordata; Mammalia; Rodentia; Heteromyidae. The record is from RNAcentral.